UGUAAGGAGAAAAACCAAGAGAGAACCUUCAAUUUGUCCUUUCAUUUCUUGCUAAAAUUUGGAGUUUCAACCGAUAGAAUUGCAAACCCUUCCAUAAAAGUCUUAUCUAAGGAAGAACAAAGGUCUUGGUGAAGUGAUUCUUGUAGAAGAAACCCUAAACUAUCAUCUUUCCUCAAGUUUCAAGGAAGUGCCGGCGAUUAAAGUCAUACUUGGAAAGGAAACUUUUGAAGUUAUCCUUGCUUGAAUUGGGAACAACACUUUUGAAUCACGAUUUUGAAGAAAGAGUAGAGCGAGCUCUAGCUAUUCUUUUGUAAAGCUCCUCUGUAGUCGAAACCCUAAAUGUAUUUUGAUCCCUCGUGAAUAUUCCAACUUGUAUUGCUAGUUUAACUUUUAAACCUUUCAAUGUUUGUAUAUCUUAAAGAGUUUAAUCAUGUAAAUUAAGUGUACUUGUUGAGAUGAUGCUUUUACUUGGCUUUGAUGAACACUUCUGAUAUCCGUGUAGGAAUUCGGACAAGUGUGAAG
Coffea arabica (coffee) is the source of this 522-nucleotide long non-coding RNA. RefSeq lists it as uncharacterized. Lineage: Eukaryota; Viridiplantae; Streptophyta; Magnoliopsida; Gentianales; Rubiaceae. The record is from RefSeq and is a predicted model, not a curated record.